Molecule: ribosomal RNA, 440 nt
Filed under: uncultured bacterium
Lineage: Bacteria
Description: partial 16S ribosomal RNA
Rfam family: Bacterial small subunit ribosomal RNA
Source: RNAcentral
CCUACGGGUGGCAGCAGUGGGGAAUAUUGCACAAUGAGGGAAACCCUGAUGCAGCGACGCCGCGUGAGUGCAGAAGUAUUUCGGUAUUUAAAGCUCUAUCAGCAGGGAAGAAAAUGACGGUACCUGAUUAAGAAGCCCCGGCUAACUACGUGCCAGCAGCCGCGUUAAUACGUAGGGGGCAAGCGUUAGCCGGAUUUACUGGGGGUAAAGGGAGCGUAGAAGGCAGCACAAGUCUGGAGUGAAAUGCCGGGGCGGAACCCCGGAACUGCUUUGGAAACUGUGCAGCUAGAGUGCAGGAGAGGUAAGUGGAAUUCCUAGUGUAGCGGUGAAAGGCGUAGAUAUUAGGAGGAACACCAGUGGCGAAGGCGGCUUACUGGACUGUAACUGACGUUGAGGCUCGAAAGCGUGGGGAGCAAACAGGAUUAGAUACCCUUGUAGUC